GAGUGAGAGCAACACCGAUGAGCUCUGUGCCGUUUGUGAAUGAACAGGGAGUGAUGCGCGCAAUGCCCGAGGGGAUACUGUCACAGUUAAUUGGCUGACCCUGGGGAUGGCAGUCAGACGUGGGAGGUAAAAAGAGCCCGCUCAGACAGUCCGGCCUCGGACACACAGCUUCCCGUCACUCAGACCACUGCAGGUAACACGCUUCCUCACAGCGGGAUCGCCGAGCUCCGAUUCACAGACGCUGUAUUUUACGCCUCCAUCUGCAUUGCAAUGGCUUAAUACUGUCCGGACAUUCUUGAGGGUGGAGACGAUCUCACUCACAGUGAAAGAUGGAGGCAGAGAUUCAGCAGAUCCUGGUCCAGGUGUCGGAGCUGCAGCACCAAAGGAAAGUUCACUUCCUGCUUCAAAAAAUCCGAUCUGCUCCCCAAAUCUGAAGGCCUACACACACCGCCAAAGAAACACCACAAAAUCCUGAAUUUUCUGGUUCUGA
This is a long non-coding RNA of Astatotilapia calliptera (eastern happy), 490 nucleotides long. Lineage: Eukaryota; Metazoa; Chordata; Actinopteri; Cichliformes; Cichlidae. The record is from Ensembl.